UCUCUUCCAGACAACCAUCUGGUGGAC
Molecule: small RNA, 27 nt
Filed under: Bombyx mori (domestic silkworm)
Lineage: Eukaryota; Metazoa; Arthropoda; Insecta; Lepidoptera; Bombycidae
Description: ovarian small RNA-29870
Source: RNAcentral